ACGGGAGGCAGCAGUGGGGAAUAUUGCGCAAUGGGGGGAACCCUGACGCAGCAACGCCGCGUGCGGGAAGAAGGUCUUCGGAUUGUAAACCGUUGUCGCAGGGGAAGAAGACAGUGACGGUACCCUGUGAGAAAGUCACGGCUAACUACGUGCCAGCAGCCGCGGUAAUACGUAGGUGACAAGCGUUGUCCGGAUUUACUGGGUGUAAAGGGCGCGUAGGCGGGACAGCAAGUCAGGAGUGAAAUACCGAGGCUCAACCUCGGGGCUGCUUUUGAAACUGUUGUUCUUGAGUAUCGGAGAGGAAAGCGGAAUUCCCAGUGUAGCGGUGAAAUGCGUAGAUAUUGGGAGGAACACCAGUGGCGAAGGCGGCUUUCUGGACGACAACUGACGCUGAGGCGCGAAAGUGUGGGGAGCAAACAGGAUUAGAUACCCUGGUA
Molecule: ribosomal RNA, 437 nt
Filed under: uncultured Clostridium sp.
Lineage: Bacteria; Bacillati; Bacillota; Clostridia; Eubacteriales; Clostridiaceae
Description: partial 16S ribosomal RNA
Rfam family: Bacterial small subunit ribosomal RNA
Source: RNAcentral